Molecule: ribosomal RNA, 425 nt
Filed under: uncultured bacterium
Lineage: Bacteria
Description: bacterial SSU rRNA
Rfam family: Bacterial small subunit ribosomal RNA
Source: RNAcentral
GAAUAUUGGACAAUGGGCGAAAGCCUGAUCCAGCAAUGCCGCGUGUGUGAAGAAGGCCUGCGGGUUGUAAAGCACUUUUAUCGGGAAAGAAAAUCACAGGACUAAUACUUCUGUGCCUUUACUGUACCCGAAGAAUAAGCCCCGGCUAACUCCGUGCCAGCAGCCGCGGUAAUACGGAGGGUGCAAGCGUUAAUCGGAAUUACUGGGCGUAAAGCGCGCGUAGGCGGUUUGUUAAGUCAGAUGUGAAAUCCCCGGGCUCAACCUGGGAAUGGCAUUUGAGACUGGCAGGCUAGAGUGUGGUAGAGGUGAGUGGAAUUUCAGGUGUAGCGGUGAAAUGCGUAGAGAUCUGAAGGAACAUCAGUGGCGAAGGCGACUCACUGGGCCAUUACUGACGCUGAGGUGCGAAAGCGUGGGUAGCAAACAGG